UAGGGAAUCUUCCGCAAUGGACGAAAGUCUGACGGAGCAACGCCGCGUGAGUGAUGAAGGCUUUCGGGUCGUAAAACUCUGUUGUUAGGGAAGAACAAGUACGAGAGUAACUGCUCGUACCUUGACGGUACCUAACCAGAAAGCCACGGCUAACUACGUGCCAGCAGCCGCGGUAAUACGUAGGUGGCAAGCGUUAUCCGGAAUUAUUGGGCGUAAAGCGCGCGCAGGCGGUUUCUUAAGUCUGAUGUGAAAGCCCACGGCUCAACCGUGGAGGGUCAUUGGAAACUGGGGAACUUGAGUGCGGAAGAGAAAAGCGGAAUUCCACGUGUAGCGGUGAAAUGCGUAGAGAUGUGGAGGAACACCAGUGGCGAAGGCGGCUUUUUGGUCUGUAACUGACGCUGAGGCGCGAAAGCGUGGGGAGCAAACAGGAUUAGAUACCCUGGUAGUCCACGCCGUAAACGAUGAGUGCUAAGUGUUAGAGGGUUUCCGCCCUUUAGUGCUGCAGCUAACG
RNAcentral lists this ribosomal RNA (511 nucleotides) under uncultured Bacillota bacterium. RNAcentral's name for it is "bacterial SSU rRNA". It matches the Rfam family "Bacterial small subunit ribosomal RNA", at positions 355 to 857 of the family's 1533-position model. The record is from RNAcentral. Lineage: Bacteria; Bacillati; Bacillota.